GCCGCCGCCCUCGCACCGCAUCCCUAUCCCCUCGUCCUGGCGCUCAACCCACGGCCCUACCGCCGUCGCCACCGUAUUCGCUCUCCACCUACGGUCCUGCUGCCAUUGCCUCUGUCCUCGCGCUCUGUCCAAGAUCCAACCGCUGUCCUCGCGCUCCGCCCGAGAUCCAGCAGCCACCAUUGCGCUCCGCCCGAGAUCGAGCCGCCGUCCUCACACUCUGCCUGAGAUCCAGCCGCCGACCUCGCUCUCAGGGAUCCACCCCUCCCCUGAUCCCCGUCCUCCAGCCCCCAACUUCGUCCGUCAUCUCUCUCGCGCUUCUUCCCUGUCGCCCCCACCCCGGGCCCCAGCCCUACCAUGAGCUCUCCAUCCGUGCUCCCUGUUCCUGUUGCCGCCGGUAGAGAUCCAUCCACGAGCCCUCCAUCCCGCUGCACCCCUCCCGAAGCCAGCCGUCUGUUGCUGCAGAUAUCCGCACAGACUCGUCUUUACCAAUAGGUAAGCAUCGACUCCUCCUGAGAUAUCCUUUUGUGUACUACUGCAUGAUGCGUGCUUGUGCAUUGCUGAACUUUAAACCAUAUGUCAUUGCUGAACUCUGAAAAUUAGGGUAACACUUUCAUAUCUUCUGCUAAGAUUUGUUUAUUGUACAGUUCUUAUUCCUAUUUCUCAGCAUCUCAAUUUUGAUACAUAGAUUGGUGCUACAAAACAUAGCAAGCCAUCUGACAUCCAUAUCUCAUAGCUGAUUUUCAUUUUUAUAUUCAUCAUACGAUUCUGAACUCUUUAUCUCCUUUAAAUUAGAAAUGAUUAUUCCAUUAACAUUUGAUAUGGGUGAAUGUUCAUAUGUUGUUAGCAUUGUGUGACUUCCUAAUUUCUAGGUGGUUCAAUUUUGUUAUUUAAAGCCGUGACCCAUUGUGUGACUUCCAAUUCUGCGGGUGAGUUGUCCUGGUCAAACGGAAGCUCUUGUAGGUGCAUAACCUCUGAGUUUUUUUUACAUGAAGCACUUUUGAUUGUCAAUACGUAUUUCCAUGUUAUAUAGUGCAAAUGACUGAGUUGGCUUCAACUUUGUUGUAGAACUGAAUGUUGUUUGUGCUGUAACAUCUUGUAGUUUCUGAUGCUUCAUGGUUUAAUUUUGGGUCGACGUGCUUGGUGCUGCAGGAGCGGUUGUACAUGAUGUUGAGCUUGCAG
RNAcentral lists this long non-coding RNA (1179 nucleotides) under Triticum aestivum (bread wheat). RNAcentral's name for it is "long non-coding RNA (TAES_LNC003716)". Lineage: Eukaryota; Viridiplantae; Streptophyta; Magnoliopsida; Poales; Poaceae. The record is from RNAcentral.